This 256-nucleotide unclassified non-coding RNA is filed under the name Glomeraceae sp. RNAcentral's name for it is "partial contains 5.8S ribosomal RNA and internal transcribed spacer 2". The stretch from base 1 to 71 matches the Rfam family "5.8S ribosomal RNA", at positions 84 to 154 of the family's 154-position model. Lineage: Eukaryota; Fungi; Glomeromycota; Glomeromycetes; Glomerales; Glomeraceae. The record is from RNAcentral.
GUGAAUCAUCGAAUUUUUGAACGCAAAUUGCGCUUCCUAGCAUCCCGGGAAGUAUGCCUGUUUGAGGGUCAGUUUUAACAAAAAAAUCGGUUUGGUUGCAAAUUGGUACUUUUCCGGAGUUUUUGCUAUCUUAACUUUUUUGGUUAAGGGGCUUAAAAUUUACCUGUUUUGCUCAUUUUUAGACGUACAUAUAUUUUUUUUAUUCGUCUAUUCGUAAUGCCAAAGUCUUAUUAGAUGCGAUCAUAGCGUAUGGUUU